CUUUUGAUUUUCAGCUGUCUGGAGUGAAAGUGAACUGUUCCUGAUGCCAAAGUGUCAGAUUCAAGACAGUUAUAAUGUUUGGAAGAAAUAUUCUGAGACUGAGAAACAAUCUGCACAGCUUUGCAUGUUGGUGGAUCAUAAUAACAUGAUACAAUGAGUCUCGGGGGGGGCUGGAGCCCAUCCCAGGUGACAUUGGGCGAGAGGCGGGGUACACCCUGGACCGGACGCCAGACUAUCACAGGGCUUGAUGCAUUUCUUUAAUUUUUCAACAUUUCACUUUCUCAGUCGGAUACAUUAUAUACACCCAGUGCCGGUUACACAGGAAACAUUUUUUACAUCAACAGAUGAGGAGAAAAAUAAAGACUUAUUGUUUUGUCAUACUGAACAAAUGAGAACAGAAAAUGACAUUUCUCUUCAGCGGCGGGACACUGGAUCUGUUUGGUCCUGAUCGUCCUGCAGGUUGUGACAAGCUGCCUGGUUAACUCUGACUCGGCCGCUUGGUUAACUGACUAUGCUGCCUGGUUACAUCUGACUCAGCUGCCGGUACAGCUGGAUGACAAGGAGCUGGAUUUCAUUAUCUCCAGGUUUGAUGUCUAUGACUCUCGGGAAGAAGGACAGAGUGCCGUCCAGCUCCCCUCUGCUGCGCCUCUCCUUCCCCCUGCUGACCAGGAAGUCGAAGCUCUCAUUGUGUAUUUAUGACAAAUAUAAAACGGUACGAAAACUUCAAAACUGAACCAAAGUACUUUCUAUCACACUUGUAUGGUUAUUUAUAGAUUUUAGUGAAUUUGAAUGCAAGUUUCUACGAUCAUGGAAAUAUUUUAAGUCAUAAAAACAUCAGCAGUAGAAAAAUAAAACAUUUAUCCAUUG
Molecule: long non-coding RNA, 867 nt
Organism: Centropristis striata (black sea bass)
Lineage: Eukaryota; Metazoa; Chordata; Actinopteri; Perciformes; Serranidae
Exons: 3
Source: RefSeq, a predicted model, not a curated record